This 58-nucleotide transfer RNA is filed under the name Loxodonta africana (African savanna elephant). It matches the Rfam family "tRNA", at positions 1 to 63 of the family's 71-position model. From Rfam's summary of the family: Transfer RNA (tRNA) molecules are approximately 80 nucleotides in length. Lineage: Eukaryota; Metazoa; Chordata; Mammalia; Proboscidea; Elephantidae. The record is from Rfam by way of RNAcentral.
UGGCUCAGUGGUUAAAACAUUUGGCUGCUAACCAAAAGGUUGGUGGUUCGAACCCACC